GAUGAACGCUAGCUACAGGCUUAACACAUGCAAGUCGAGGGGAAACGAUAUUGGAAGCUUGCUUCUGAUAGGCGUCGACCGGCGCACGGGCGAGUAACGCGUAUCCAACCUGCCCAUCACUUGGGGAUAACCUUGUGAAAGUAAGACUAAUACCCAAUGACGUCUCUAGAAGACAUCUGAAAGAGAUUAAAGAUUUAUCGGUGAUGGAUGGGGAUGCGUCUGAUUAGCUUGUUGGCGGGGUAACGGCCCACCAAGGCGACGAUCAGUAGGGGUUCUGAGAGGAAGGUCCCCCACAUUGGAACUGAGACACGGUCCAAACUCCUACGGGAGGCAGCAGUGAGGAAUAUUGGUCAAUGGACGAGAGUCUGAACCAGCCAAGUAGCGUGCAGGAUGACGGCCCUAUGGGUUGUAAACUGCUUUUAUAAGGGAAUAAAGUGGGAGUCGUGACUCUUUUUGCAUGUACCUUAUGAAUAAGGACCGGCUAAUUCCGUGCCAGCAG
RNAcentral lists this ribosomal RNA (499 nucleotides) under uncultured bacterium. Its description in RNAcentral is "bacterial SSU rRNA". It matches the Rfam family "Bacterial small subunit ribosomal RNA", at positions 28 to 514 of the family's 1533-position model. The record is from RNAcentral.